AUACUACUUCUAUAAUCCUACUCAAUAAAAUAUGUUUGUUGGUAGGUAUGCCAUUUUUCUGAAGAAAGAGUUUAUCCAAGAAGGAGACAGUGGGAGGUCUGUUGAACAUGAAAAAGUUCAAAACCUACAAUCCAUCCAGGAUUUACCAUAUAGUUCUCAACCAGUUGUGCCUGUUGUUGAGGCACAACUACUAUACACACCUCCUCUCCGAAGGUCAAGUAGAGUGCGUAGUGUAUCACUCAGAUAUGGAUUUGUCAUUGAGAAUGACAACACAAUCCACAUCAUUGAGAAUGAUGAUCCCACGACC
RNAcentral lists this long non-coding RNA (307 nucleotides) under Elaeis guineensis (African oil palm). RNAcentral describes it as "long non-coding RNA (EGUI_LNC074652)". Lineage: Eukaryota; Viridiplantae; Streptophyta; Magnoliopsida; Arecales; Arecaceae. The record is from RNAcentral.